UACGGGGGGAGCAAGCGUUGUUCGGAUUUACUGGGCGUAAAGGGCGCGUAGGCGGCCACCGCAAGUCGACUGUGAAAUCUCCGGGCUUAACCCGGAAAGGUCAGCCGAUACUGCGGGGCUAGAGUGCAGAAGGGGCAACUGGAAUUCUCGGUGUAGCGGUGAAAUGCGUAGAUAUCAGGAGGAACACCGGUGGCGAAGGCGGGUCUCUGGGCAGUUACUGACGCUGAGGAGCGAAAGCAUGGGGAGCGAACAGG
Molecule: ribosomal RNA, 254 nt
Filed under: uncultured bacterium
Lineage: Bacteria
Description: partial 16S ribosomal RNA
Rfam family: Bacterial small subunit ribosomal RNA
Source: RNAcentral